UUUGACCUACGGGAGGCAGCAGUGGGGAAUAUUGCACAAUGGGGGAAACCCUGAUGCAGCGACGCCGCGUGAAGGACGAAGUAUUUCGGUACGUAAACUUCUAUCAGCAGGGAAGAAAAUGACGGUACCUGACUAAGAAGCCCCGGCUAACUACGUGCCAGCAGCCGCGGUAAUACGUAGGGGGCAAGCGUUAUCCGGAUUUACUGGGUGUAAAGGGAGCGUAGACGGCGAAGCAAGUCUGAAGUGAAAACCCAGGGCUCAACCCUGGGACUGCUUUGGAAACUGUUUUGCUAGAGUGUCGGAGA
Molecule: ribosomal RNA, 305 nt
Filed under: uncultured bacterium
Lineage: Bacteria
Description: bacterial SSU rRNA
Rfam family: Bacterial small subunit ribosomal RNA
Source: RNAcentral